Molecule: long non-coding RNA, 653 nt
Organism: Macrobrachium nipponense
Lineage: Eukaryota; Metazoa; Arthropoda; Malacostraca; Decapoda; Palaemonidae
Exons: 3
Source: RefSeq, a predicted model, not a curated record
UCGGAACCACUAGCUGAAAUCAGUAACUAAACCAUCGGUUGGGGUGUUGGUAGUCGCUUGAUCAGAUGUUGUGAAGUGGCUCGUGUGGCUUUUUUGUCAUCUAUCAGCCUACAGACUGUUCCUAUAAUCUGAGGAUGGCGGGAAGCGGAUGAAGAAAGCUGCUCCUCCAGGAGUCUUCGUAAGGUAUAGUAUAACAAUACCAACGGUUGAAUGUCGAAAUGGUUCCUUCAACGUGUGUUGAGUAUUUUAUCUACAGUGUUUUGAUAAAAUAUAGGCUUAUGCUGUUGUCCUUUGCAGGUUAAAAGUCGAAAUGGUUCCUUUAGCGUGUGUUGACAAUUUAUAAAAUAAAAUAUCGGUUUUUUCGGACUGUGCUAGUUCCCGUUAGAGGUUCUUCGUGUGGUCAUUUAAGAUGCCCUGGGCAUCUUCAAUUACGACGGAUGAACAGCUUAUAGAAGCCCAGAACUUAAAUUUUCCUUCCACGGGCUGAUGAACCACUUAAGGGCUGAUUAACCGCUUAAAGAAGACUAGAACCAAGAGUCUUGGUUUACCUACCGGUUGAUUCAACUAAGUAGACUUCUCUUUACACAAGGUGACAAUAGGUUCGCGUAUUUUCCACACUUUGUAAUUUUUGUCAAUGAAAGUAAAAGAAACUA